UACCAGCACCCCGAGUGGUCGGGACGUUUAUUGGGCCUAAAGCAUCCGUAGCCGGUUCUACAAGUCUUCCGUUAAAUCCAUCUGCCUAACAGAUGGGCUGCGGAAGAUACUAUAGAGCUAGGAGGCGGGAGAGGCAAGCGGUACUCGAUGGGUAGGGGUAAAAUCCGUUGAUCCAUUGAAGACCACCAGUGGCGAAGGCGGCUUGCCAGAACGCGCUCGACGGUGAGGGAUGAAAGCUGGGGGAGCAAACCGG
This 253-nucleotide ribosomal RNA is filed under the name uncultured bacterium. RNAcentral describes it as "partial 16S ribosomal RNA". It matches the Rfam family "Archaeal small subunit ribosomal RNA", at positions 474 to 727 of the family's 1478-position model. The record is from RNAcentral.